This 459-nucleotide ribosomal RNA is filed under the name uncultured bacterium. RNAcentral describes it as "partial 16S ribosomal RNA". It matches the Rfam family "Bacterial small subunit ribosomal RNA", at positions 338 to 795 of the family's 1533-position model. The record is from RNAcentral.
CCUACGGGAGGCAGCAGUGAGGAAUAUUGGUCAAUGGGCGGGAGCCUGAACCAGCCAAGUCGCGUGAGGGACGACGGUCUUAUGGAUUGUAAACCUCUUUUGUCGGGGAACAAAGGCGCACACGGGUGGGCGGAUGAGUGUACCCGAAGAAAAAGCAUCGGCUAACUCAGCGCCAGCAGCCGCGGUAAUACGGAGGAUGCGAGCGUUAUCCGGAUUUAUUGGGUUUAAGGGGUGCGUAGGCGGACAGUCAAGUCAGCGGUAAAAAUGCGGUGCUCAACGCCGUACAGCCUUUGCAACUGGCAGGCUUGAGUGGGCUAGAGGUAUGCGGAAUGCGUGGUGUAGCGGUGAAAUGCGUAGAUAUCACGCAGAACUCCGAUUGCGAAGGCAGCAUACCGGCGCCCAACUGACGCUGAAGCACGAAAGCGUGGGUAUCGAACAGGAUUAGAUACCCUUGUAGUC